Molecule: ribosomal RNA, 468 nt
Filed under: uncultured bacterium
Lineage: Bacteria
Description: bacterial SSU rRNA
Rfam family: Bacterial small subunit ribosomal RNA
Source: RNAcentral
GGCUCAGAUUGAACGCUGGCGGCAUGCCUUACACAUGCAAGUCGAACGGCAGCACGGGUGCUUGCACCUGGUGGCGAGUGGCGAACGGGUGAGUAAUAUAUCGGAACGUACCUUAUCGUGGGGGAUAACGCAGCGAAAGCUGCGCUAAUACCGCAUACGAUCUAUGGAUGAAAGCGGGGGACCGUAAGGCCUCGCGCGAUUGGAGCGGCCGAUGUCAGAUUAGCUAGUUGGUGGGGUAAAGGCCCACCAAGGCGACGAUCCAUAGCUGGUCUGAGAGGAUGAUCAGCCACACUGGGACUGAGACACGGCCCAGACUCCUACGGGAGGCAGCAGUGGGGAAUAUUGGACAAUGGGCGAAAGCCUGAUCCAGCAAUGCCGCGUGAGUGAUGAAGGCCUUAGGGUUGUAAAGCUCUUUUACCCGAGAUGAUAAUGACAGUAUCGGGAGAAUAAGCUCCGGCUAACUCCGUG